AAACUGCGCGCUUGAUUUUUUACAACUUAGUGCGUAUUGAUGAUCGUGUUCCACCAUGUUUAAAAGUACUUCUCGACUCAAGCAAUCAAAAAUUUUGUGACUUACCACAUGCGAUAUUGCGAUCGCCAUCGAUAGACGUUCGAGAAGAAUAUCGGACUGACUUGUUCAAGUAUUUGAGAGGAAGUCAGUGCGCUGGAUCUGGCAAAAUGAACUGCCAAGUUGCAUGGAGCGAAUUGGGUGAUCAUAGAUGUCGAGCAGCAUUGUAUAAUUUCAACGCUCUCAAUGAUGAUGAAAAGUCUCUGUGUCCGAAUGCUAAAACGGCUGCCUGUAGAUUCACCGAUUACAACUGUGUCGUUAAUGUGCCGUUGCCGAAAGAAGAUGGAGCCACUGGAACUACAUUCAAACAAGUGCCAUUGAAGAAGUGUGUAGAAAAAGUGCGUGGCUUUGCCCAGCAAAGUAGAGAAUUUAGAGAAUUCUUAGGUGCGAAGAAAAAGAAUCAAUGAGCGAAGAUAUUUCAAAAUUUCUUCAAAAUUUGAACUGUCAAAAAAAACUGACAAACAUUUUGUCCUGUAAUAAAUAAGCUGUUUGAUUAUUUGUCAAAACUGACUAUCGUAAGAAACCCAAUAUUUAGAAUAAAUGUGUGUGACCGUUAAUAGAAAGAUAAUUUAAGGUACGCUACUUACUAAGCGGAAAAAAAUUGUAUUUUAAGGGUUCAGUAGAAAGCCUUCUCUUCUUUCCUCGAGAACGA
This 748-nucleotide long non-coding RNA is filed under the name Bemisia tabaci. RNAcentral's name for it is "lncRNA ENSSSA2NGG003354". Lineage: Eukaryota; Metazoa; Arthropoda; Insecta; Hemiptera; Aleyrodidae. The record is from RNAcentral.